AUAACAGAUACUGCGACAAUUGAUUAAUUAGAUAGGCCAGAGGGAUCGCAAUUUUUGUAGAGUUUUGUUAGAUAAUUUUUAGAUAGGUAUCAAUUGAGUGUUUGCGAGGACGCUACACAGUUAGGAGUGGGGCUAUGUAGAAUAAGUAGUUAUUUUCAGAAUGUAGAUACCUAGUAUAUAGUGUAAACAGGGAUAGAUAACUAUUGAAAAGGUGGUUCAACAAGUAGAAUGGAUGAAUAGUCAAGAAAAGUAGUUAUCAUCUGUAGUAUAGGAGUUGGUAUCUUGGGGUAGUAUAAGGAGGAUGGGAGAGGGGAAGAAAAGGCCAGACUGUGAAAGUUGUGAGCCGGGGUAAGCUUGGUACUGCCUCUUUUUUUUUUUGUUAUUUUCUUUGAAUAAGAGUAUUGAAAGUUUUUGAAUAUUGUGAAAUGAAUUAUGGAAUGGAAAUGUAAUUGGUAUUAUUUGAGAAGAAGAAAGAUUGAAUGCUGAAAUCUAAUUGUAGUUCAGCAGAGAGAAUGAGUCUAUGUUUGUGUGAAACUCUGUAAUGUGAAUGGCAAUUCUGUGUGAAGAAUUCCAGUGAUUGGAAUGAGGGUAAUUGUGUACUGAAAGCUGUAAGGGUGCAAUAUUACAGUUGGAGAUUAUAAGGGUGAAUAUAUUGGUGGAAAUAGCAGUUAUUGGUAUGA
RNAcentral lists this long non-coding RNA (680 nucleotides) under Physcomitrium patens. Its description in RNAcentral is "long non-coding RNA (PPAT_LNC012419)". Lineage: Eukaryota; Viridiplantae; Streptophyta; Bryopsida; Funariales; Funariaceae. The record is from RNAcentral.